This 227-nucleotide ribosomal RNA is filed under the name uncultured bacterium. Its description in RNAcentral is "partial 16S ribosomal RNA". It matches the Rfam family "Bacterial small subunit ribosomal RNA", at positions 585 to 810 of the family's 1533-position model. The record is from RNAcentral.
AAGUCGGUUGUGAAAGCCUUCCGCUCAACGGAAGAACGGCAUCCGAUACUGCAUGGCUUGAGUGUGGGAGGGGAGAGUGGAACUUCUGGUGGAGCGGUGAAAUGCGUAGAUAUCAGAAGGAACACCGGCGGCGAAGGCGACUCUCUGGUCCAUAACUGACGCUGAGUGUGCGAAAGCUAGGGGAGCAAACGGGAUUAGAUACCCCGGUAGUCCUAGCCGUAAACGAU